CGGGGUGUGGCGCAGUGGUAGCGCACUAGUCUGGGGGGCUAGGGGCCGCGAGUUCAAGUCUCGCCACUCCGACCA
RNAcentral lists this transfer RNA (75 nucleotides) under Christensenellaceae bacterium. RNAcentral's name for it is "tRNA-Pro". It matches the Rfam family "tRNA". Rfam says of the family: Transfer RNA (tRNA) molecules are approximately 80 nucleotides in length. Their secondary structure includes four short double-helical elements and three loops (D, anti-codon, and T loops). The record is from RNAcentral. Lineage: Bacteria; Bacillati; Bacillota; Clostridia; Christensenellales; Christensenellaceae.